AAAUGGUUUGGGGCAAGCCUCUGCAACCUCCAGAUGAGCAAACCCUUGGUUCCAUUGUAGGCCUACCAUAGAAAUCCAUUCAGAAUUGUGUAUUCUUGCGUAACAAUUCAAAAGCUUGCCCCUAAUCAUGUGACAUACAUGUAGCAACUGUCACGAUAGUCUUAGAAAUACAAAUUUUAAGUAGUAACUUGUGACCAAUGACUUCAUUGUACUAGACGAUAUUCAAAUGGAGCAGGCAUAUAUGGCUUAUUGAUCCCAAGGUAGGGAGGGGAUCGGGUGGGGUUGGUAGGGUACGAUCACUGGCAGCAUGAAGUGCAUCUCUUGACGAGAGUGGUGAAGAGCAGUCAGGAGGAGGCAGUGGACAGAGUCGCAGGACUGAGAAAAUGAAGUAACAUCUUUGGUGAGAAACAUGGACUGGGCGGAGGCAGGAUGGAGAGGACAGCAUCUCUUCUGAGGACAUCAAGUUUGAUUCUGAGGAUGACGUCUUGUGGAAUAACCCUUACAUGUGGGCAUGAAGACUUUUGUCACAGACUUUUUGUCAAAAGCCUAAAAGCACUGAUUGGCAACAGGUGGUGUCUCUCUGCAACACAAUUAUGGAACAAAAAGCCGCUUAGUUUGGUCAUGCAGUACGACAGGGUGGCCUGUCAGCAGCAGUGCUUGAUGGAAUCCCAAUUUGACACCGUCGCGGGGUUGUCAGACCAAGACUCCCCUGGAUCGACGACCUCGCCAGGUGGAGUGGCCUCAGAAUGGCUGAACUAACUGCGCGACCCAACAGCGAUGCAAAAUCACACCUGCACCAACCACACAACCAAGGAGCAGUGGACGGUUGUUGCAUCAAGUGGGCACAGUAGCCUUGACGUUUUGAUAAUGAUGAAGUCACUUCUCCAUAACUGCUCAUGUGUGCUGACUAAAGAAUGGUACAACUUUACAGAUUGGCAGGCAGAUGCAAUUAGUGGAUUCUAGUUGGAUUGUGGAAGUCCUUGUGGAAGUCUUUGCGGAUGCAAUGAGUGGAUACUAGCUGGAUUGUGGAAGUCCUUCAGGUGCAUCUACGGAGGAGGUCUAGGGGAGAAAGAGAAAGAAUCCUGAAGAAUCGGUUGCAGUUGAAAAUCUACAAUCUAAAGUAUAGUCUACUUAUGAUGAUGAGGUGACACAUUAAAAAAUUCAAGCUUAUGCUUAACACCUUGAAUGGAUUCUACAAAAAAAAACAUCUUCUUGCUCUACACUUGGAGACAGUAACAUAGCCUUUGUAGCAACUUGGACACACACAAAAAGAAGUCUGACAGCAUUGCCAAGAUGAACUUCAAUUAAAAGCUGUCUGUAGCACACAACACAAGAGACUUCGGUCCCCACGGAUCCUGUCGGAGUAGCAUCCCAUCAUAAUCUUGUUCUCGUUGGGCAGACGGACUUUACCGCCCUCGUGGGACUCACUGCGAAAGGCCUCGUUGACAUCCAAGGAAGUUCACUGGGCGAAUAACAAGACCCGAUAAAAUGUCUCUUUAGCCAUCUGCGAGAUCAGGGAUACUCCAGGGAAAGAUCGAGAAG
Long non-coding RNA from Asterias rubens (European starfish), 1542 nucleotides. RefSeq lists it as uncharacterized. The transcript is spliced from 3 exons. The record is from RefSeq and is a predicted model, not a curated record. Lineage: Eukaryota; Metazoa; Echinodermata; Asteroidea; Forcipulatida; Asteriidae.